GGCCUACCAUGGUGGUAACGGGUAACGGGGUGUUAGGGCACGACACCGGAGAGGGAGCCUGAGAAACGGCUACCACAUCCAAGGAUGGCAGCAGGCGCGCAAAUUACCCAAUCCCGACACGGGGAGGUAGUGACAAUAAAUAACAAUACAGGGUUCUUUAGGAUCUUGUAAUUGGAAUGAGUACAAUUUAAAUCUCUUAACGAGGAACAAUUGGAGGGCAAGUCUGGUGCCAGCAGCCGCGGUAAUUCCAGCUCCAAUAGCGUAUAUUAAAGUUGUUGCAGUUAAAAAGCUCGUAGUUGAAUUUCGGGAUCGAUGGGUCGGUCAUGCCCUCGGUAUGUACUGGUCCCAUUGGUUCUCACCUUCUAAGGAACCAUGAUGUCAUUCGGUUGAUGUUGUGGGGAAUUAGGACUGUUACCUUGAAAAAAUUAGAGUGUUUAAAGCAGGCUAACGCUUGAAUACAUUAGCAUGGAAUAAUGAAAUAGGACAUCGCAUUCUAUUUUGUUGGUUUCUAGGAUCGAUGUAAUGAUUAAUAGGGAUAGUUGGGGGCAUUAGUAUUCAAUUGUCAGAGGUGAAAUUCUUGGAUUUAUUGAAGACUAACUACUGCGAAAGCAUUUGCCAAGGAUGUUUUCAUUAAUCAAGAACGAAAGUUAGGGGAUCGAAGAUGAUUAGAUACCAUCGUAGUUCUAACCGUAAACGAUGCCAACCAGCGAUCCGUGGGAGUUAAACCUAUGACUCCACGGGCAGCUUCCG
This 750-nucleotide ribosomal RNA is filed under the name uncultured Glomeromycotina. RNAcentral describes it as "bacterial SSU rRNA". It matches the Rfam family "Eukaryotic small subunit ribosomal RNA", at positions 338 to 1092 of the family's 1831-position model. The record is from RNAcentral. Lineage: Eukaryota; Fungi; Glomeromycota.